Molecule: ribosomal RNA, 288 nt
Filed under: uncultured archaeon
Lineage: Archaea
Description: partial 16S ribosomal RNA
Rfam family: Archaeal small subunit ribosomal RNA
Source: RNAcentral
GCGCGAAAACUUUACAAUGCGGGAAACCGUGAUAAGGGAACUCCGAGUGCCCGUAAAAUCGGGCUGUCCAUCUGUUUAAAUAACAGGUGAAGAAAGGGCCGGGCAAGACCGGUGCCAGCCGCCGCGGUAAUACCGGCGGCUCGAGUGGUGGCCACUAUUACUGGGCUUAAAGCGUUCGUAGCUGGUCUGUUAAGUCUCUGGGGAAAUCUACUGGCUUAACCAAUAGGCGUUUCAGGGAUACUGGCAGACUAGGGACCGGGAGAGGUGAGGGGUACUCCAGGGGUAUGA